AUGAAGAUUAAUAGGCUCUUUAUUUUAUUGUUAGGAACUGCAGGUGCUGCUUUUAUUUAUAUAAAUGUGUGCUGGCUCCUGGCCGUGGGCUCAGCCCAGGACGAAUUCUCCUGUGGGACUUCAGGGAGAGGAACUUUCUCAUACUGCCUCUGCCCGAGAGCCAACGUCACAUCACAUUUGAAUGUGAGCAUGGAGUGCCUGCAUGGUCCUUUGAUAGAAACUACAGCUCUGUCCUUCAUCAAGAGCAUCUCCACUGCUCCUCCCUUCAAGACUAUGGCUUGAAUAAGAACAAAGAACAAACAAAAUCCACAAGGACUUGGCUUGACUGGGAAGUUCCUUAUAGGCAUUGUGGGGGGAUUUAUAAGAAAAAAAAAAGGGCAGACCCUGGAAACCAUCUCCCCAAGGAUCUGCUGAGAACAAAUACAGAACAAGGAGCCAUGAAAAUAGGUUCCUGGGUAGUAGGUAACAUAGCACAUCAGUCUGGUUCCUCAGGGAAGGGACUUCUACAGGUAUCAUGAGCCAUGUGUGGGAAUUACAGGGUCUUAAAGGGCAGGACAGGUACCUUGAUUUGGAUUUCUGGAGGACCAGAGAGUUGGACUGCUCUGCAAAACACCCAGAUUAUGUGCAGUCUGAAGUGCCUCAGUGACUGCUGCAAGAGCUCUUGCGUGGCAAUGUGUAACAGCACACUCAA
Molecule: long non-coding RNA, 691 nt
Filed under: Anser cygnoides (Swan goose)
Lineage: Eukaryota; Metazoa; Chordata; Aves; Anseriformes; Anatidae
Description: lncRNA (ENSACDG00005016965.1)
Source: RNAcentral